AGUAACAUUCUAGUUCAGAAAGUGAAAAAGGGAAAGUGAAAGAUCAAGAAGAGCCGAUGAUCGUCACUGUAGCUGAGCUUCGAACUGGUAAACAGAGAACUAGACAAAAUCCUCAGCUCCUCGGCUUCAAGCGGUGAAAAGAGAAGGUCUGGGGAUGUUCUUGCCAGAGCUGCACAGAAAUGCUUCUCCUGCUAAGAAAAUGGAUGCUCCCAACAAAAAUAAAUCAUGUGAAAGAUAAAUAGAUGUUGGAUAAACACAGUGUUGGAAGAAAACAAGAUGGUGGUCAUGCCAUUCUUAUCUGACUUUCCCUUCUUCAACUUGAUAUUCCACCUUCAGAAACAGGGGAUCUGAACUCUUCGAGUGCUGAGGAAGAAAACAUUGCAAGGGAGAGUGAAGGAAGACGAGCAACAGAAUAGGCAGUUUUUGAGCUAAAUGUCAACGUCAGCUAGUCAUCAGUGUCCUCUUCCUUACCUGUCAUCAAUCCAAUUCUUGUCAUCGUCAGAGCUACCAAUUACGGGGCAUUGAUUGGGAGCCAGGCAUAGGAGUCAGCACUUGACAUGAGCCUAUGCCUCGGUACAGUCCUUUGGGUUGGGUGC
Long non-coding RNA from Ailuropoda melanoleuca (giant panda), 596 nucleotides. RefSeq lists it as uncharacterized. Lineage: Eukaryota; Metazoa; Chordata; Mammalia; Carnivora; Ursidae. The record is from RefSeq and is a predicted model, not a curated record. The transcript is spliced from 3 exons.